UACGUAGGGAGCAAGCGUUUGUCCGGAAUCAUUGGGCGUAAAGCGCGCGUAGGUGGCCAUUUAAGUCCGCUGUGAAAGUCAAAGGCUCAACCUUUGAAAGCCGGGUGGAUACUGGAUGGCUAGAGUACGGAAGAGGCGAGUGGAAUUCCUGGUGUAGCGGUGGAAUGCGCAGAUAUCAGGAGGAACACCGGUGGCGAAGGCGGGUCUCUGGGCCGUACUGACGCUGAGGAGCGAAAGCGUGGGGAGCGAACAGG
RNAcentral lists this ribosomal RNA (254 nucleotides) under uncultured bacterium. RNAcentral describes it as "partial 16S ribosomal RNA". It matches the Rfam family "Bacterial small subunit ribosomal RNA", at positions 524 to 776 of the family's 1533-position model. The record is from RNAcentral.